Molecule: ribosomal RNA, 447 nt
Filed under: uncultured bacterium
Lineage: Bacteria
Description: partial 16S ribosomal RNA
Rfam family: Bacterial small subunit ribosomal RNA
Source: RNAcentral
AGCGAACGCUGGCGGCAGGCCUAAUACAUGUAAGUCGAGCGCACCUUCGGGUGAGCGGCGGACGGGUGAGUAACGCGUGGGAACGUGCCCUUUGGUACGGGAUAACUCAGGGAAACUUGAGCUAAUACCGUAUGUGCCCUUCGGGGGAAAGAUUUAUCGCCAUUGGAGCGGCCCGCGUUGGAUUAGCUAGUUGGUGGGGUAAAGGCCUACCAAGGCUACGAUCCAUAGCUGGUCUGAGAGGAUGAUCAGCCACACUGGGACUGAGACACGGCCCAGACUCCUACGGGAGGCAGCAGUAGGGAAUCUUGCGCAAUGGGCGAAAGCCUGACGCAGCCAUGCCGCGUGAAUGAUGAAGGUCUUAGGAUUGUAAAAUUCUUUCACCGGGGAAGAUAAUGACGGUACCCGGAGAAGAAGCCCCGGCUAACUUCGUGCCAGCAGCCGCCGUAA